RNAcentral lists this ribosomal RNA (754 nucleotides) under uncultured bacterium. Its description in RNAcentral is "bacterial SSU rRNA". It matches the Rfam family "Bacterial small subunit ribosomal RNA", at positions 60 to 774 of the family's 1533-position model. The record is from RNAcentral.
AGUCGAGCGAGCUUGCCUAGAUGAUUUUAGUGCUUGCACUAAAUGAAACUAGAUACAAGCGAGCGGCGGACGGGUGAGUAACACGUGGGUAACCUGCCCAAGAGACUGGGAUAACACCUGGAAACAGAUGCUAAUACCGGACAACAACACUAGACGCAUGUCUAGAGUUUGAAAGAUGGUUCUGCUAUCACUCUUGGAUGGACCUGCGGUGCAUUAGCUAGUUGGUAAGGUAACGGCUUACCAAGGCAAUGGUGCAUAGCCGAGUUGAGAGACUGAUCGGCCACAUUGGGACUGAGACACGGCCCAAACUCCUACGGGAGGCAGCAGUAGGGAAUCUUCCACAAUGGAUGAAAGUCUGAUGGAGCAACGCCGCGUGAGUGAAGAAGGGUUUCGGCUCGUAAAGCUCUGUUGGUAGUGAGGAAAGAUAGAGGUAGUAACUGGCCUUUAUUUGACGGUAAUUACUUAGAAAGUCACGGCUAACUACGUGCCAGCAGCCGCGGUAAUACGUAGGUGGCAAGCGUUGUCCGGAUUUAUUGGGCGUAAAGCGAGUGCAGGCGGUUCAAUAAGUCUGAUGUGAAAGCCUUCGGCUCAACCGGAGAAUUGCAUCAGAAACUGUUGAACUUGAGUGCAGAAGAGGAGAGUGGAACUCCAUGUGUAGCGGUGGAAUGCGUAGAUAUAUGGAAGAACACCAGUGGCGAAAGCGGCUCUCUGGUCUGCAACUGACGCUGAGGCUCGAAAGCAUGGGUAGCGAACA